UACGUAGGGUGCGAGCGUUAAUCGGAAUUACUGGGCGUAAAGCGUGCGCAGGCGGUUUGGUAAGACAGAUGUGAAAUCCCCGAGCUUAACUUGGGAACUGCAUUUGUGACUGCCCGGCUAGAGUGUGUCAGAGGGGGGUAGAAUUCCACGUGUAGCAGUGAAAUGCGUAGAGAUGUGGAGGAAUACCGAUGGCGAAGGCAGCCCCCUGGGAUAACACUGACGCUCAUGCACGAAGGCGUGGGGAGCAAACAGG
RNAcentral lists this ribosomal RNA (253 nucleotides) under uncultured bacterium. RNAcentral describes it as "partial 16S ribosomal RNA". It matches the Rfam family "Bacterial small subunit ribosomal RNA", at positions 524 to 776 of the family's 1533-position model. The record is from RNAcentral.